GCUUACGGCCACACCACCCUGAGCACGCCCGAUCUCGGAAGCUAAGCAGGGUCGGGCCUGGUUAGUACUUGGAUGGGAGACCGCCUGGGAAUACCAGGUGCUGUAAGCU
Molecule: ribosomal RNA, 109 nt
Organism: Myripristis murdjan (pinecone soldierfish)
Lineage: Eukaryota; Metazoa; Chordata; Actinopteri; Holocentriformes; Holocentridae
Source: Ensembl